Molecule: ribosomal RNA, 440 nt
Filed under: uncultured bacterium
Lineage: Bacteria
Description: bacterial SSU rRNA
Rfam family: Bacterial small subunit ribosomal RNA
Source: RNAcentral
CCUACGGGCGGCUGCAGUGGGGAAUAUUGGACAAUGGGCGCAAGCCUGAUCCAGCAAUGCCGCGUGUGUGAAGAAGGCCUUCGGGUUGUAAAGCACUUUAAGCAGGGAAGAAAACCCUUCAUUGAAUAGAUGGAGGUUUGACGGUACCUGAAGAAUAAGCACCGGCUAACUCUGUGCCAGCAGCCGCGGUAAUACAGAGGGUGCAAGCGUUAAUCGGAUUUACUGGGCGUAAAGCGUGUGUAGGUGGUUUACCAAAUCGGUUGUGAAAUCCCUGGGCUUAACCUGGGAACUGCUUCCGAGACUGUUGGACUAGAGUACGGUAGAGGGCGGUGGAAUUUCCGGUGUAGCGGUGAAAUGCGUAGAUAUCGGAAGGAACACCAAUGGCGAAGGCAGCCGCCUGGGCCUGUACUGACACUGAGACACGAAAGCGUGGGGAUCAA